UACGGAGGAUCCAAGCGUUAUCCGGAAUCAUUGGGUUUAAAGGGUCCGUAGGCGGUUUUGUAAGUCAGGGGUGAAAGCCCAUCGCUCAACGGUGGAACGGCCAUUGAUACUGCAAGACUUGAAUUAUUGGGAAGUAACUAGAAUAUGUAGUGUAGCGGUGAAAUGCUUAGAGAUUACAUGGAAUACCAAUUGCGAAGGCAGGUUACUACCAAUAUAUUGACGCUGAUGGACGAAAGCGUGGGGAGCGAACAGG
This 253-nucleotide ribosomal RNA is filed under the name uncultured bacterium. RNAcentral describes it as "partial 16S ribosomal RNA". It matches the Rfam family "Bacterial small subunit ribosomal RNA", at positions 524 to 776 of the family's 1533-position model. The record is from RNAcentral.